This 2261-nucleotide ribosomal RNA is filed under the name Staphylococcus aureus. RNAcentral's name for it is "partial 23S ribosomal RNA". It matches the Rfam family "Bacterial large subunit ribosomal RNA", at positions 1 to 2259 of the family's 2925-position model. The record is from RNAcentral. Lineage: Bacteria; Bacillati; Bacillota; Bacilli; Caryophanales; Staphylococcaceae.
AGAUUAAGUUAUUAAGGGCGCACGGUGGAUGCCUUGGCACUAGAAGCCGAUGAAGGACGUUACUAACGACGAUAUGCUUUGGGGAGCUGUAAGUAAGCUUUGAUCCAGAGAUUUCCGAAUGGGGAAACCCAGCAUGAGUUAUGUCAUGUUAUCGAUAUGUGAAUACAUAGCAUAUCAGAAGGCACACCCGGAGAACUGAAACAUCUUAGUACCCGGAGGAAGAGAAAGAAAAUUCGAUUCCCUUAGUAGCGGCGAGCGAAACGGGAAGAGCCCAAACCAAAAAGCUUGCUUGUUGGGGUUGUAGGACACUCUAUACGGAGUUACAAAGGACGACAUUAGACGAAUCAUCUGGAAAGAUGAAUCAAAGAAGGUAAUAAUCCUGUAGUCGAAAAUGUUGUCUCUCUUGAGUGGAUCCUGAGUACGACGGAGCACGUGAAAUUCCGUCGGAAUCUGGGAGGACCAUCUCCUAAGGCUAAAUACUCUCUAGUGACCGAUAGUGAACCAGUACCGUGAGGGAAAGGUGAAAAGCACCCCGGAAGGGGAGUGAAAUAGAACCUGAAACCGUGUGCUUACAAGUAGUCAGAGCCCGUUAAUGGGUGAUGGCGUGCCUUUUGUAGAAUGAACCGGCGAGUUACGAUUUGAUGCAAGGUUAAGCAGUAAAUGUGGAGCCGUAGCGAAAGCGAGUCUGAAUAGGGCGUUUAGUAUUUGGUCGUAGACCCGAAACCAGGUGAUCUACCCUUGGUCAGGUUGAAGUUCAGGUAACACUGAAUGGAGGACCGAACCGACUUACGUUGAAAAGUGAGCGGAUGAACUGAGGGUAGCGGAGAAAUUCCAAUCGAACCUGGAGAUAGCUGGUUCUCUCCGAAAUAGCUUUAGGGCUAGCCUCAAGUGAUGAUUAUUGGAGGUAGAGCACUGUUUGGACGAGGGGCCCCUCUCGGGUUACCGAAUUCAGACAAACUCCGAAUGCCAAUUAAUUUAACUUGGGAGUCAGAACAUGGGUGAUAAGGUCCGUGUUCGAAAGGGAAACAGCCCAGACCACCAGCUAAGGUCCCAAAAUAUAUGUUAAGUGGAAAAGGAUGUGGCGUUGCCCAGACAACUAGGAUGUUGGCUUAGAAGCAGCCAUCAUUUAAAGAGUGCGUAAUAGCUCACUAGUCGAGUGACACUGCGCCGAAAAUGUACCGGGGCUAAACAUAUUACCGAAGCUGUGGAUUGUCCUUUGGACAAUGGUAGGAGAGCGUUCUAAGGGCGUUGAAGCAUGAUCGUAAGGACAUGUGGAGCGCUUAGAAGUGAGAAUGCCGGUGUGAGUAGCGAAAGACGGGUGAGAAUCCCGUCCACCGAUUGACUAAGGUUUCCAGAGGAAGGCUCGUCCGCUCUGGGUUAGUCGGGUCCUAAGCUGAGGCCGACAGGCGUAGGCGAUGGAUAACAGGUUGAUAUUCCUGUACCACCUAUAAUCGUUUUAAUCGAUGGGGGGACGCAGUAGGAUAGGCGAAGCGUGCGAUUGGAUUGCACGUCUAAGCAGUAAGGCUGAGUAUUAGGCAAAUCCGGUACUCGUUAAGGCUGAGCUGUGAUGGGGAGAAGACAUUGAGUCUUCGAGUCGUUGAUUUCACACUGCCGAGAAAAGCCUCUAGAUAGAAAAUAGGUGCCCGUACCGCAAACCGACACAGGUAGUCAAGAUGAGAAUUCUAAGGUGAGCGAGCGAACUCUCGUUAAGGAACUCGGCAAAAUGACCCCGUAACUUCGGGAGAAGGGGUGCUCUUUAGGGUUAACGCCCAGAAGAGCCGCAGUGAAUAGGCCCAAGCGACUGUUUAUCAAAAACACAGGUCUCUGCUAAACCGUAAGGUGAUGUAUAGGGGCUGACGCCUGCCCGGUGCUGGAAGGUUAAGAGGAGUGGUUAGCUUCUGCGAAGCUACGAAUCGAAGCCCCAGUAAACGGCGGCCGUAACUAUAACGGUCCUAAGGUAGCGAAAUUCCUUGUCGGGUAAGUUCCGACCCGCACGAAAGGCGUAACGAUUUGGGCACUGUCUCAACGAGAGACUCGGUGAAAUCAUAGUACCUGUGAAGAUGCAGGUUACCCGCGACAGGACGGAAAGACCCCGUGGAGCUUUACUGUAGCCUGAUAUUGAAAUUCGGCACAGCUUGUACAGGAUAGGUAGGAGCCUUUGAAACGUGAGCGCUAGCUUACGUGGAGGCGCUGGUGGGAUACUACCCUAGCUGUGUUGGCUUUCUAACCCGCACCACUUAUCGUGGUGGGAGACAGUGUCA